This 370-nucleotide ribosomal RNA is filed under the name uncultured eukaryote. RNAcentral describes it as "partial 18S ribosomal RNA". It matches the Rfam family "Eukaryotic small subunit ribosomal RNA", at positions 592 to 976 of the family's 1831-position model. The record is from RNAcentral.
CAAUAGCGUAUAUUAAAGUUGUUGCAGUUAAAAAGCUCGUAGUUGGAUUUCUGGUCGGAAGCUCCUGUCCUCUGAUGAGCGUACAAGUGCGUCCUACCAUCCUUCUGUUAACCUUUAAGGCUUUCGCGGCUUUCUAGGGGCUCAGAUAUUUUACCUUGAGAAAAUUAGAGUGUUUCGGGCAGGCUAGCGCCGGAAUACAUUAGCAUGGAAUAAUGGAAUAGGACUUUUGCCUCUUCUGUUGGUCAUGAGGCUCGAGUAAUGAUUAAUAGGGAUAGUUGGGGGCAUUAGUACUUAACUGUCAGAGGUGAAAUUCUCGGAUUUGUUAAAGACUAACUUAUGCGAAAGCAUUUGCCAAGGAUGUUUUCAUUAA